AAAUUUCCUCUUCUUGAGUGAUUAGGGUUUGGAUUCUUGAAGGUUUUUUGUUGAAAAAUUACCAGAAAACUCAAGUAAUACAAUAGAUACAUACAUUCCUCCAUGGAGCACGAUUUAUUCUGUUUUUAUGUGUCUUAUGCGAAGUGAUUUUAGAGGAGCAGUUCAAUUUUUUGGAGAUCUCGGUUGGUUCCUUUGUGGAACGUGACUUGCUGUAUAAUAAACAUUUGAAUCUAAGUGAUUCGAGAAUGGGCAGCUCGGAGGGCAAAAAUCUGUGUUGGUUGAUCUUUGUGAUCAAGAUUGAUUCCUGUUGUUAAUAGUGUUUGCAAUUGUUGUUCUAGCAAAGAUAAGUCCUGUACUUGGUUCUUUGUUGUAAAUUGCCGGAACAUUAUUGUAAUUUGCUGCCUAUUUUUGGGACUUUAUAGUGCAACCGAAUUUUAUCCAUUUUUAAUGGAUGCUCAACAGGGGAUUAGGCAUUAAAAGUGGUCGCCGAACCUCUAGGGCUUCGGCCGAAAAAUCCUUGUGUUCAUUUUUAUUUCAUGUACUUUAUUUUUAGUUUUUGAUUGUGUUUUUGUAAUCUUGGUUAAUAUUCGUAUCCCUCGAUUUUUCAGUGAUAUCAGAGCAACCUGGACUACUGGAGCCUUGUGAUUUCUUGAUUAAUCCUGAUUCCUGAAACCUGCAGUACACAUUGGCCGGUGGAAAUUGAGUUUUAUCAAACUCAUUGGUGACAUCUUUCCUGCAUUCUGUAAUUAAUUCUCUCAGUAGAGUCUCCUAUUUUUUCCUUUGAUUUGCCUUGCACUAACAAAACCUACAGUGGCUGGUCUUUGUCUAAAGGCUCAAGAAGUCUUGGGAAUCUGAGAUAACAACACUAGUAGGAGUGCAAUUGGAAGGUCUUGCUGGAGAAGUUAGUUGAGGCAUAGGAUUGCUAUCUCUGUUCUUUGUGAUUCUGCCUUCUGUACUUAGUGUUAAGUGUUUACUGCUUUGUGAAAACUUGAAAUAAGUGCAUUGGUCAUCAAUUCCCAAUCCCCUGACUGCCUGCAGUAUUCUUGUUGUAUGUCCCUGUAUGUUCUUGAAAUCAAACUUGUGUACUGUGAACUAUCUCGGUGAAUCUUGUCAUGGCUACUACUAAGUUUGAAUUGAGCAUGUUUAAUGGGAGGGGGGACUUUAACAUGUGGAGCUAGAAAAUGAGGGCUAUUUUAAUGCAAACGAAAUGUGCUAAAGCCUUAGAUAAUUCAUGGCCUGCUGAAAUGUCUGUUGCUAAAAGAACCGAGUUAGAAGAAAUAGCGUGGAGUACUAUUUUCUUGUACCUUUCAGACAAUAUGAUCAGGUUUAUAGGUGAAACUAAAACUGCUGAAGAGUUGUGGACUAAAUUGAAAGCUCAAUAUGAGCCAAAAACUAUUCCAAACAAAUGUUUUUUGCUAAAACAAUUCUUCUCUUUCAAAAUGGACCCUUUGGUUGACUUGGAUGAAAACUUGGACAGAUUUACAAAAUUGACCCAGGACCUUGCCAACUGUGAUGAGAAAUUAUCAGAAGAUCAACUGGCCGUGGUCUUGUUAAACUCCAUUAGUGAUGGCAUAGAGACCUAAAGAAUGCCUUGGAAUAUGGAAGAGAUGAGCUUACCACAGAUAUCAUUAUAAAUGCCUUAAGAAAUAGGGUUAUUGAAUUAAAAUCAGAUUCUAUCAACCAACAAAGUGGAGAAAAUCUUUUGAUAAAAAACAAAAAUGUUGGUAAAUCUAAUUUUCAUUCAAAAUUUCAAAAUGACCCUAAGAAAAGAAAUAAUGACAAAAUGAAAUCAAAAACUAAGGCAAAGGAAAAGAAAUGUUAUUACUGUGGUAAGUUGGGUAACUUUGCAAAAGAUUGCUACAAGAAGCAAAAUGAUUUGAAAGGAAAUAAAUUAAAUGAGGGUAAUGUUGUUUUGUCCUAUGAUAAGUAAAAAUUUGAUAAUGGCCUUGUUCUUGUAAAUGUUGAAAGGAACCUAAAUCAAGAAUGGAUUCUUGAUUCAGGUUGUUCUUUCCACAUGUGUCCUAAUAAAAACUAUUUUUUGGACUUUGAACAAACUAAAGGGGGCCAAGUUAUCAUGGGAAACAACAUGACCUGCAAAGUGAAAGGUAUUGGAACCAUAAAAUUGCUCUUAGAAAAUGGCAGAAUUUUAUUGUUAAAGGGGGCCAGAUUUGUUCCUGAAUUAGAAAGAAACCUUGUGUCUCUAGGAAUGUUGGAUGACAUGGAGUUUGACAUAAAAUUGGGUCAAGGAUACAUAAAAAUCUUUAGGGGUAGUGAUUUGAUCACUUCUAUCCCAAAGAGACAUGGUUUAUACUUUCUAAAUGCAAAACCUUUAUUGGGUCUUUCAACAGCAGUUAUAAAUGAUGAAUUUAAUCUUGCAAAAUUGUGACAUUGUAGAGUUGGUCACAUUGGUGAAAAAGGUUUAAAGACUUUACAAAAUAAAGGUGUAUUUGGAAAAUCAAAUAUUGGUGAUUUGUCUAAAUGUGAACAAUGUUUGAUUGGCAAGCAAGUUAAGUUACCUUUUCCCACUAGUACUCAUAAAUCAAAGCAAAUUCUAGAAUACUUACAUUCUGAUUUGUGGGGCCCUGCAUCCACCCCUACAUUGUCUGGUUACAAGUAUUACUUGCUAAUUAUUGAUGAUUUUUCAAGAAAAAUUUGGGUAUUUCUUUUGAAAGUUAAAGAUAAAAUAUUUGCUACAUUUAAAGAUUGGAAAACCCAAAUUGAAAAUCAAAGUAAUUAGAAAAUCAAAACCUUGAGAACCGACAAUGGUCUAGAAUUUUACAAUUAUGAGUUUAAUGAGUUUUGCAAGUUGCAUGGCAUUUUAAGAUAUAGAACUGUGAUCUAUACACCCCAACAAAAUGGCAUUGCAGAAAGAAUGAAUAGGACUUUGNACACACCCCAGCAAAAUGGCAUUGCAGAAAGAAUGAAUAGGACUUUGUUGAAUAAAGUUAGAUGCAUGCUUUUAAGUUCUGGCUUGCCCAAAUUAUUUUGGGGUGAAGCUGUUAAAACUGCUGCAUAUUUGAUUAAUAGAAGUCCUACAAGUGCUUUAAAUUUUGAUGUGCCUGAAUCUGUGUGGACACAAAAGCCUGUGAACUAUUCUUACUUGAAAACAUUUGGUUAUGCUGCAUAUGCUCAUCAAAACAUAGAGAAACUUGAACCUAGAUCCCUUAAAUGUGUGUUUUUAGGUUAUACUGAAAAUGUUAAAGGAUAUAGGCUGUGAGUUUAUGGGGAAAAAGGUUACAGGGUUAUUAUAAGAAGAGAUGUGGUCUUUAAUGAGUCAUGUAUGCCAUGUUUGGAAGGGAAAGAGAGAAAUUUGACUGAAAAUGAUGUCCAAAUUGAGGUGGAGCCUAUUAAAAUUGAUAAUACCAGUUCUGUCCCCCCAGAAACAGCAACUAUUGAGGCUGACCAGAAUGAAAACGAGCCUAAUUUGGCUGAACCUGAGCAGUAUAAUGAUGAUAUUACACCUCUAGAUGAAUACCAGCUCACUAGAGAUAGGGAUAGGAGGCAAAUUAAACCACCGGCUUGGUUCAAUAGUGAUGACUUUGUGUCUUUGUUCACUUACCAAGAAGAAACUGAAUCUGAACCUAAUUCCUAUCAUGAAGCCUUGAGAUCUAAAGAUUCUAAGCGGUGGUUGAGUGCUAUGGAAGAAGAAAUGUCUUCCUCAUACAAGAAUGAAACUUGGGAAUUGGUUGACAAAUCUAAGGAUAAGAAACUAGUUGAUUGCAAGUGGAUUUAUAAGAUAAAGGAAGGAGAAGGUGGAACUAACAAUGUUAGAUACAAGGCUAGGCUUGUUGCCAAGGGUUUCACACAAAAGGAGGGUGUGGACUAUGAUGAGAUUUUUUCCCCCGUUGUUAAAUAUACAACUAUAAGAUGUAUUCUUGCUUUGGUUGUGCAAUUUAAGUGGAAACUUGAUCAACUAGAUGUAAAAACUGCAUUCUUGUAUGGUGAAUUGGAUGAAGUGAUCUACAUGAGACAUCCUCUAAGGUUUAUUCAAGGAAAUCCUGAAAAAACUGUGUGUUUGUUGAAAAAAUUAUUAUAUUGACUAAAACAAGCUCCAAGACAAUGAUAUAAAAGAUUUGAUUCAUUUAUCUUGAAACUUGGGUUUAGUAGAAACAAUUAUGAUACAUGUCUUUAUUGUAAAGGAAGUGGAGGUAAAGAUUCAUUGUAUCUUGUACUUUAUGUUGAUGAUAUGUUUCUUGCUAGUGCUAAUAAAUCUGAAAUUGAUGAUAUCAAACACAAAUUAAAAUCAGAAUUUAAAAUGAAGGAUCUUGGUCCAGCUAAGAAAAUACUUGGCAUGCAAAUUAUUAGAGAUGAGAAAUCUGAUUGCUUGUUCUUAUGUCAACUAGAUUAUGUUAAUGAGAUCCUAAAGAGAUUUAAUAUGUUUGAUUGUAAACCUGUGACUUUAUCCCUUGCUAAUCACUUUAUAUUAACAUCUGAUUCAUGUCCUAAAACUGAAGAUGAACUUGAAAGAAUGUCUAAUAUACCUUAUGCUAAUGCUAUUAGUUCAGUCAUGUACUUAAUGAUUUGUACCAGACCUGAUUUGGCUUUUAGUAUUAGUGUUUUGAGUAGAUUUAUGGGGAAUCCUGGUGAAACUCAUUGGGAAGCUUUGAAGUGGUUGUUGAGAUACUUAAAGGGUUCAUCUAACUUAGAUUUGAUGUUUAAAAUGGAUAAAGAGGGGGUAAUUUUAAAGGGUUAUACAGAUUCUGAGUUUGCUGGAAAUAGAGACAAUAGAAAAUCAACUUCAUCUUAUUUUUACACUUUGUGUGGUACUGUAAUAAGUUGGAAAUCUCAGUUACAAAAAAAUGUUGCUCUAUCUUCCACAAAGGCUGAAUAUAUUGCUGCCACUGAUGCCAUUAAAGAAGGUAUAUGGCUGCAUGGUUUGUUGAAUGAACUUGAUUUUGUAGACACUAAUCCAAUAUUAUAUUUUGACAACCAAAGUGCAAUCCAUUUGAGUAAGAAUCCCAUGUUCCAUGAUAGAACGAAGCAUGUUGAUGUAAAAUACCAUUUUAUAAGGGAUAUUAUUUCAAAGGGGUUGCUGAAAAUUAAUAAAAUACCUACUUUGUAUAAUGCAUCUGAUAUGGGAAUUAAGGUGAUACCUUUAAAUAAGUUUUAAAACUAUUUAAAGAUGUUAUCUAUUGAUUCUUUUCAUUGAUUGUACAAAUACAAAGAGCAAAUGAAGUUAUAAAUGUUGGUGAAGCUCCUGGAUGCACUAUAGGUUCAAAUUUUGGAAGCAAGGUGGAGAUUGUUGAGAAAAAUAUAAAAGUGUUCCAAAAUUUUUAAAAGAAAAGAAACGUGUUUUUCCUUUUUGACCAUUGGAUAUUCUACCUAACCAUGUGAUAUUUUGAAAGAUACACAUUAAAUGAGGCAAAGAUUUUUUUUCUUCCAUAAAUUACUCUCUCUCUCUCUCUCUCUCUCUCUCUCACGUGCACUUUGAAGAAAAGAAAAGUCUCUCUCUCUCUCUUCUUUCACUUCACUUCUCUUCUCUGUUACGAAAAUUCCCUCUUCUUGAGUGAUUAGGGUUUGGAUUCUUGAAGGUUUUUUGUUGAAAAAUUACCAGAAAACUCAAGUAAUACAAUAGAUACAUACAUUCCUCCGUGGGGCACGAUUUAUUCUGUUUUUAUGUGUCUUAUGCGAAGUGAUUUUAGAGGAGUAGUUUGAUUUUUUGGGGAUCUCAAUUGUUUCCUUUGUCGAAAGUGACUUGCUGUAUAAUAAACAUUUGAAUCUAAGUGAUUUGAGAGUGGGCAGCUCAGAGGGCAAAAAUCUGUAUUGGUUGAUCUUCUUUGCGAUCAAGAUUGAUUCCUAUGGUUAGUAGUGUUUGCUAUUGUUGUUCUAGCAAAGAUAAGUCCUGUACUUGGUUCUUUGUUGUAAAUUGCUGGAACAUUAUUGUAAUUUGUUGCCUAUUUUUGGGGCUUUAUAGUGCAAUCGAGCUUUAUCCAUUUUUAAUGGAUGCUCAACAAGGGAUUAGACGUUAAAAGUGGUCGCCGAACCUUUG
This 5989-nucleotide long non-coding RNA is filed under the name Olea europaea subsp. europaea. Lineage: Eukaryota; Viridiplantae; Streptophyta; Magnoliopsida; Lamiales; Oleaceae. The record is from RNAcentral.